GGGGAUUUAGCUCAGUGGUAGAGCGCUUGCCUAGGAAGCUCAAGGCCCUGGGUUCGAUCCCCAGCUCCA
RNAcentral lists this transfer RNA (69 nucleotides) under Rattus norvegicus (Norway rat). It matches the Rfam family "tRNA". From Rfam's summary of the family: Transfer RNA (tRNA) molecules are approximately 80 nucleotides in length. The record is from Rfam by way of RNAcentral. Lineage: Eukaryota; Metazoa; Chordata; Mammalia; Rodentia; Muridae.